AUUGAACGCUGGCGGAAUGCUUUACACAUGCAAGUCGAACGGCAGCACGGGGGCAACCCUGGUGGCGAGUGGCGAACGGGUGAGUAAUACAUCGGAACGUGCCCAAUCGUGGGGGAUAACGUAGCGAAAGCUACGCUAAUACCGCAUACGAUCUACGGAUGAAAGCGGGGGAUCGCAAGACCUCGCGCGAAUGGAGCGGCCGAUGGCAGAUUAGGUAGUUGGUGGGGUAAAGGCUCACCAAGCCGACGAUCUGUAGCUGGUCUGAGAGGACGACCAGCCACACUGGGACUGAGACACGGCCCAGACUCCUACGGGAGGCAGCAGUGGGGAAUUUUGGACAAUGGGCGCAAGCCUGAUCCAGCCAUUCCGCAUGCAGGAUGAAGGCCCUCGGGUUGUAAACUGCUUUUGUACGGAACGAAACGGCCCUUUCUAAUACAGGGGGCUAAUGACGGUACUGUAAGAAUAAGCACCGGCUAACUACGUGCCAGCAGCCGCGGUAAU
RNAcentral lists this ribosomal RNA (501 nucleotides) under uncultured bacterium. RNAcentral describes it as "bacterial SSU rRNA". It matches the Rfam family "Bacterial small subunit ribosomal RNA", at positions 30 to 524 of the family's 1533-position model. The record is from RNAcentral.